UGGUCUAGUGGUUAGGACACUAGACUGGUACUCAAGAGACCUGGGUCCAAUUCCUAG
This 57-nucleotide transfer RNA is filed under the name Chelonia mydas (Green sea turtle). It matches the Rfam family "tRNA", at positions 8 to 63 of the family's 71-position model. Rfam says of the family: Transfer RNA (tRNA) molecules are approximately 80 nucleotides in length. Their secondary structure includes four short double-helical elements and three loops (D, anti-codon, and T loops). The record is from Rfam by way of RNAcentral. Lineage: Eukaryota; Metazoa; Chordata; Testudines; Cheloniidae.